This 28-nucleotide small RNA is filed under the name Bombyx mori (domestic silkworm). RNAcentral describes it as "piRNA piR-bmo-1655123". Lineage: Eukaryota; Metazoa; Arthropoda; Insecta; Lepidoptera; Bombycidae. The record is from RNAcentral.
UGAGUCGAGACUGAGCUUGAAUGUUGCG